Molecule: ribosomal RNA, 254 nt
Filed under: uncultured bacterium
Lineage: Bacteria
Description: partial 16S ribosomal RNA
Rfam family: Bacterial small subunit ribosomal RNA
Source: RNAcentral
UACGUAGGGUCCAAGCGUUUAUCCGGAAUCACUGGGCGUAAAGCGUGCGCAGGCGGAUGAUCAAGUGAGAUGUUAAAUCGCGUGGCUCAACCAUGUCGCUGUAUCUCAUACUGGUCGUCUAGAGGAUGGCAGAGGCUAGUGGAAUUUGUAGUGUAGCAGUGAAAUGCGUAGAUAUUACAAGGAACACCAAUGGCGAAGGCAGCUAGCUGGGCCAUUUCUGACGCUCAGGCACGAAAGCGUGGGGAGCGAACAGG